RNAcentral lists this long non-coding RNA (2818 nucleotides) under Homo sapiens (human). RNAcentral's name for it is "HSALNT0026843". Lineage: Eukaryota; Metazoa; Chordata; Mammalia; Primates; Hominidae. The record is from RNAcentral.
AAAGACAGCUUUUGGGAAAGUAUGUUCUCAUUCAUAGCCGAUACAAAAGCUUUGGGACCCUCCUCUGGAAGAAAAACGAGUGACUGAAAAUGAGUGAAGGCUUUCCCCAGUGCUGUUCCCAACAGCAUCCAAUGUGUAGACCCCUACAUGCAAAGAGACCCCAAUGCCUUCUCAGUUCCACAUGCUGUCGAUGCCUCAGAUCGUCCUGGUUGCUGUCUAUACUCACCUUGUUGACUACCCAAAGAUAUGGACCUGCUGAAUUCUUGACCUCCAUAAAGUCAAUGGUCUUCACCCCAUCCGCAUUUUGGCCAUCUUUUCCCUGGCCACCUCUCAGACCUUUGCACCAUCCCAAAGCACACUGCCUUCUAAAUGUGAGAUGUGCCUUGUUUACUUUUUACUUCUGAUUUGAUUCCUAAUUUUUUGUUUUAUUGUGUGGAUACUAUGCAUAUAAAAGAAUAUAAAGAAAGUGUACAUGUAUAUAAAAAAUAUAAGCAUGUCACCCAGCAUAGUAAAAACACUUUUAUCCGAGAUUUGGAGGCCACAUGUGAUCAUUCCCAAUGCAAAACCUCAACCUCAGUACCAAAGAUAAGCAUCACUUUGAAUAUUUUACUAUUAUUCUCCUGCAUUCUUUCUAGUCUUAUUAUUUCCCUAAAUAAUUUAGUGUUGUGUGUUAGAAUUUUAUAUGAAUGGUUAUCAUACCGUAUGGAUGUCUUCUUCUGUGUCUCGUAUUUACAUUCAAUGCCGUGUUUGUUAUUUGGCCAUGAUAAUGUUAUCAACACAAGUAAUUCAUUUUUGCAGCUGAGUUUUUCAUUCUAUGGACACAUUGUAUAAGUAUAUAACGAUAUAUUUCUCUAUUGUCCUGUCAUUGGACCUUUGCAUGGUUUACAAUUUUUGGCUAUUAGAAAUAAUGCUGCCAUGAACAUUCUUGCUCAUGCACACUGGUAUGCACUGGGGAUAUGCCAGGAAGCAAAGUUGCUGGGCUAUAAUAGCCUAUGUGCAUCUUGAAAUUCGCAAGACAAUGCCAAACUGCUUCUCCACACUCUCAUAGAUAUUUUGUACUUUUCCCAGCAUUUAAGAAUCCUCAUUGCAGUCAGGCACAGCGGCUCAUGCCUGUAAUCCCAGCAUUUUGGGAGGCUGAGGUGGGUGGAUUACUUAAGGUCAGGAGUCCAUGACUAACCUGUCCAAUAUGGAGAAACCCCGUCUCCACUAAAAAUAUAAAAAUUAGCCGGGUGUCGUGGCAGGCGUCUGCAAUACCAGCUACUCAGGAGGCUGAGGCAGGAGAAUCGCUUGAACCCAGGAGGCAAAGGUUGCAGUGAGCCGAGGAGAUCGCGCCACUGCCCUCCAGCUUGGGUGACAGAGUGAGACUCUGUCUCGAAACAAACAAACAAACAAAAAGUAUCCUCAUUGCUCCACAUACUCCCCAAUACUUGGUUUUAUUACUUUUUAAUUUGUCUUGUAAAAUGGUGAUGUCUCAUUGUUAUUUUACUUUGUAUUUUCUUGAUUACUCGUUAAGAGUGGUCAUAUUUUCAUGCUUUUAUUGCCUAUUUGCUUUUUCUGUUCUAUGAAAUGCCAUUCAUGUCUUUUGCUUAUUUAUCUGUGGGUGGUCUUUUUCUCCUGUAUUGCUUUUGCAUGUUUAUUCAGUUCUCUUCUGCCAUUUAAGUAUUAGUGUUCUUAAAGCUCAGUCUUGGGCUCUCUUUUCUUCUUAAGCUUCUUUCUUCUCAUAUAAUCCCAUCUACUCUCAGUUACCAUCUAGUCAUACCAUAUGUAUGCAAAUUACUUCUGAUUUUAUAUUUCUAGACAAGAUCUAAUUUCUAGCUUCACAUCUUAAAUCCAACUAUUUCUCAGUAUGCUCACUUGGAUGUUUCAAAGGCGUCACAAUUUUAACUUCAAAACCAAAAUUAUUAUUUUCCUCCAAAUCUGUUAUUUUUAGUGUUCCCAAUCUCUAAGUGUUGUACAAGGCAGAAACCUAGAGGGCAUUUUGACUUUCCUCUCUCUCCCAUACAUAAUUUCUCAGAAAGGUCUAUCAAGUUUACCUCCAAACCACUUCUCAAGUCUAUGUUUCUUUCCAUGCCCUCUGUAAAACCCUAGUCUAAGCUAUGUCACCUUUCAGCUAUGGCCACAGUUUUCUACUAGCCUCCCUGAAUAUAUCCUGUGUGUGUCCAUUUAGUUCUCCACACUAGAGCAAGUGAAAUAUCCAUUUUAAGUGCACAGUUGAUGAUAUGGGAAACAUCAACAGCUUCCCAUCUCUUAGAAUAAAGUCUGGCAUUGCUAACAUGUGACUGAGAACAUAGUCCAUUUCCUGGCCUCUGCCUACGUCACCUCUUGUGAUUUCUCUUGCUCCUUGUGCUCAGCUGCACCAGACUGGUUUCCAUUCCUUGAAAAUCUGCGUUUUUUUUCUGCCCUCAUUGUUGGACAGGCUACUCUCCAUUCUUAGAAUGAUACCUACAUGGUUCCAUUGUGCUUUACUUAGUUAUCACCUAAGAAUCUUAGCCCAAGCACAACUUCCUCUGAAUGUCAUUCCCUGAUAAGCCUGUCUGUUUUAUAAGCUCACCAGGAAUUACAGUCAUUUUGUAUGGACAUCUUAUGCAUCUGGAAAUAUGAAUAUCUACCCUCCCCAGGAGUUCCGUGGGGGUGGGGAAGGUGUUUGGUUUUGGUCCCCAUUAAACCUAAACCUAAUGCAGUGCCUGGCUCAUUAUAAGAACUUAAUAAAUAUUUAUUAAAUUAAUAAAUUAUACUCUCAUAUCAUCUGGUUUUUAAAAGAUAUAUCAGGUUUUAUUUUUUGUUGUUACUUGGUAUCACUGAUCUGUAAUAAAGCCCA